AUCCCUGUGGCUCAAUUGGUAGAGCAUGGUGUUUGCAACGCCAGCAUGGUGUGUGCAACGCCAGGGUUGUGGGUUCGAUUCCCACGGGGGGCC
Non-coding RNA from Salmo salar (Atlantic salmon), 93 nucleotides. The record is from Rfam. NCBI's taxonomy places the organism in Eukaryota, Metazoa, Chordata, Actinopteri, Salmoniformes, Salmonidae.